GACGAACGCUGGCGGCGUGCCUAACACAUGCAAGUUGAGCGAAGUAUCUAGAGAUGAUUUCUUCGGAUUGAAUCACUAGAUAUCUUAGCGGCGGAUGGGUGAGUAACGCGUGAGUAACCUGCCUUUCACAAAGGGAUAGCCUCGGGAAACUGGGAUUAAUACCAUAUGAUACUUCUUUUUCGCAUGGAAUAGAAGUUAAAGCGUAAAGCGGUGAAAGAUGGACUCGCGUCCCAUUAGUUAGUUGGUGAGGUAACGGCUCACCAAGACUGCGAUGGGUAACCGGCCUGAGAGGGUGAACGGUCACACUGGAACUGAGACACGGUCCAGACUCCUACGGGAGGCAGCAGUGGGGAAUAUUGCACAAUGGAGGAAACUCUGAUGCAGCGACGCCGCGUGAACGACGAAGGUCUUCGGAUCGUAAAGUUCUGUCCUUGGGGACGAUAAUGACGGUACCCA
RNAcentral lists this ribosomal RNA (456 nucleotides) under uncultured bacterium. Its description in RNAcentral is "bacterial SSU rRNA". It matches the Rfam family "Bacterial small subunit ribosomal RNA", at positions 28 to 481 of the family's 1533-position model. The record is from RNAcentral.